CAUCUAUUUGCUUAAUUCAUUACUGUGCAAGCCCUUCAAAGAGGGGAACAGAGAGCGAAUAAACUUAGAUUUGAAAUUAAGUCAUUUCGUAGAGAUCUUAAGAGUGGUAAGCACUGGGGGGAAAAACUAUUAUUUUGAAUAUUUUUUUACAUCAUCAUUGUCCCUGCCUCCCAGCACUUACUAAUAUGGACAAUCAAGAAACUGAUGCAAUGAAAAACAAAACAGAAUACUAAUAGGACUACUCUGCAAACAUGAAAACGGGCUCGGAAAUGAACUCAUGCUCCUACACCCUUAAAACAUAAGCUCGAUUUUUAAAAAACACUAACUACAGUUUUUGCAAAAUAACUGGAUAAACAAGACAAGGGGGAAACCGUGGCAUUAUUUCUUAAAAGGAACACCUCCCUAAAGCCACGGCAAAAACAAUGCUCAACUGAACGUAGAUCUAAAAGGCCCAUGAUCCCCCUUCAUAUGUAGUUAUCACACAUUCUCAGACGGUCUUUCUGGGUGAGAAGCCUUCAAAACGCCUCUCCACCUUGAAAACACGUUCCAGAACUGGAAGGAAUGGGGGGAGGGGGGCAGAUCUGCUGGAAGUUACAGGCCCUCCUCUCGGUUGAGCACGGACAACUUGGAGCCUUCUGACCCUUUUCACCCAACAGGGGAAGAGAGCCAACGGUCCUUGUAUUCUCCCAGACUCCAGGCGACAUGGAUCAAGUUCUCCAAGAGUUUCCCUGAAAGCACCUCUCACAUAGCUUGAGGCACUGCUUUAGGUAGUGAGGAUACAACGGUGAGCAAGACAAAGUCCCUGACUCAUGGAAUUUACAAUUUGGGAGACAGAUAAUGAGCAUCUGAAAAACGAAGAUAAUUUCAGGGAACCUAACAAUGAUGCCCAUUCAGAAAGAUGAAGGUCUCCUGGAAAUAUUCUCUUUAACCUAUGAUGUAUGUCAAGAGGAGUGGUCCAAUGUUCUGUUUUUGACUGAUUAUGGAGCAAUAAAGGAAUGGACAAAGGUAAAGUUUUUCUGCUCCUCAACUCUUAGCCUUGAAGAUUUGGCCAAUGGAGAUGAAUCAAUUUCACUGUAGCCCCAUGGAAACUGACGGUUGUGCUAUGCUUGGAGAAGAUUCUUUGUGACUAUUUUCAGAUGCACACCUCAGAUUAUUA
Molecule: non-coding RNA, 1156 nt
Organism: Microcebus murinus (gray mouse lemur)
Lineage: Eukaryota; Metazoa; Chordata; Mammalia; Primates; Cheirogaleidae
Source: RefSeq, a predicted model, not a curated record